This 453-nucleotide ribosomal RNA is filed under the name uncultured Streptococcus sp. RNAcentral describes it as "bacterial SSU rRNA". It matches the Rfam family "Bacterial small subunit ribosomal RNA", at positions 927 to 1382 of the family's 1533-position model. Lineage: Bacteria; Bacillati; Bacillota; Bacilli; Lactobacillales; Streptococcaceae. The record is from RNAcentral.
AAGCGGUGGAGCAUGUGGUUAAUUCGAAGCAACGCGAAGAACCUUACCAGGUCUUGACAUCCCGAUGCUAUUUCUAGAGAUAGAAAGUUACUUCGGUACAUCGGUGACAGGUGGUGCAUGGUUGUCGUCAGCUCGUGUCGUGAGAUGUUGGGUUAAGUCCCGCAACGAGCGCAACCCCUAUUGUUAGUUGCCAUCAUUCAGUUGGGCACUCUAGCGAGACUGCCGGUAAUAAACCGGAGGAAGGUGGGGAUGACGUCAAAUCAUCAUGCCCCUUAUGACCUGGGCUACACACGUGCUACAAUGGUUGGUACAACGAGUUGCGAGUCGGUGACGGCGAGCUAAUCUCUUAAAGCCAAUCUCAGUUCGGAUUGUAGGCUGCAACUCGCCUACAUGAAGUCGGAAUCGCUAGUAAUCGCGGAUCAGCACGCCGCGGUGAAUACGUUCCCGGGCCUU